AACGAACGCUGGCGGCAGGCUUAACACAUGCAAGUCGAGCGAGACCUUCGGGUCUAGCGGCGGACGGGUGAGUAACGCGUGGGAACGUGCCCUUCUCUACGGAAUAGCCCCGGGAAACUGGGAGUAAUACCGUAUACGCCCUUUGGGGGAAAGAUUUAUCGGAGAAGGAUCGGCCCGCGUUGGAUUAGGUAGUUGGUGGGGUAAUGGCCCACCAAGCCGACGAUCCAUAGCUGGUUUGAGAGGAUGAUCAGCCACACUGGGACUGAGACACGGCCCAGACUCCUACGGGAGGCAGCAGUGGGGAAUCUUAGACAAUGGGGGCAACCCUGAUCUAGCCAUGCCGCGUGAGUGAUGAAGGCCUUAGGGUUGUAAAGCUCUUUCAGCUGGGAAGAUAAUGACGGGACCAGCAGAAGAAGCCCCGGCUAACUCCGU
This 432-nucleotide ribosomal RNA is filed under the name uncultured bacterium. Its description in RNAcentral is "partial 16S ribosomal RNA". It matches the Rfam family "Bacterial small subunit ribosomal RNA", at positions 29 to 506 of the family's 1533-position model. The record is from RNAcentral.